UUUUAUGUAUGUUACAUCAGAACUUUUGCCCGUGUGGACCGAUUUCGACAAAUUUUCUUUUAAUCGAAAGGUGGUGUGUGUCAAUUGGUCCCAUUUAAAUUUAUUUGAGAUCUAACAACUACUUUUCGAGUUACAUAUCUAAUAAUGCGUUUUUACUUGACGCUUUUUUCGUCGACCUACGUUGUAUUCUACCGCAUAACUUUCUACUGGAUGUACCGAUUUUGAUAAUUCUUUUUGUUGGAAAGG
Molecule: unclassified non-coding RNA, 246 nt
Filed under: Melitaea cinxia (Glanville fritillary)
Lineage: Eukaryota; Metazoa; Arthropoda; Insecta; Lepidoptera; Nymphalidae
Description: misc RNA ENSMCXG00005022354.1
Source: RNAcentral